AACGCUGGCGGGUGCCUAAUACAUGCAAGUAGAACGCUGAAGGAGGAGCUUGCUUCUCCGGAUGAGUUGCGAACGGGUGAGUAACGCGUAGGUAACCUGCCUGGUAGCGGGGGAUAACUAUUGGAAACGAUAGCUAAUACCGCAUAAGAGUAGAUGUUGCAUGACAUUUGCUUAAAAGGUGCAAUUGCAUCACUACCAGAUGGACCUGCGUUGUAUUAGCUAGUUGGUGGGGUAACGGCUCACCAAGGCGACGAUACAUAGCCGACCUGAGAGGGUGAUCGGCCACACUGGGACUGAGACACGGCCCAGACUCCUACGGGAGGCAGCAGUAGGGAAUCUUCGGCAAUGGACGGAAGUCUGACCGAGCAACGCCGCGUGAGUGAAGAAGGUUUUCGGAUCGUAAAGCUCUGUUGUAAGAGAAGAACGAGUGUGAGAGUGGAAAGUUCACACUGUGACGGUAUCUUACCAGAAAGGGACGGCUAACUACGUGCCAGCAGCCGCGGUAAUACGUAGGUCCCGAGCGUUGUCCGGAUUUAUUGGGCGUAAAGCGAGCGCAGGCGGUUAGAUAAGUCUGAAGUUAAAGGCUGUGGCUUAACCAUAGUACGCUUUGGAAACUGUUUAACUUGAGUGCAAGAGGGGAGAGUGGAAUUCCAUGUGUAGCGGUGAAAUGCGUAGAUAUAUGGAGGAACACCGGUGGCGAAAGCGGCUCUCUGGCU
This 716-nucleotide ribosomal RNA is filed under the name uncultured Bacilli bacterium. RNAcentral's name for it is "bacterial SSU rRNA". It matches the Rfam family "Bacterial small subunit ribosomal RNA", at positions 32 to 734 of the family's 1533-position model. Lineage: Bacteria; Bacillati; Bacillota; Bacilli. The record is from RNAcentral.